This is a non-coding RNA of Biomphalaria pfeifferi, 205 nucleotides long. The record is from the annotation of a GenBank genome assembly. NCBI's taxonomy places the organism in Eukaryota, Metazoa, Mollusca, Gastropoda, Planorbidae.
ACAUCUUUCGGGUCCCGGGAAAUAAACUAAAAAGAGGAACCAUUAACACAAUUUUCUCUUUUUUUUUAAAAAAGAAAGUUGGUACUGCAUCAAAUUUACUACCAAAACAAAGAACAAUCACUCCCACAUCCGGGAAAUAAUAAAAAAAGAGAGAAAUAAAAAAGUUUAACAUAAAAAGAUAGUGAAAUAAAUAUUAAAAAACAAG